Molecule: ribosomal RNA, 1919 nt
Filed under: Staphylococcus aureus
Lineage: Bacteria; Bacillati; Bacillota; Bacilli; Caryophanales; Staphylococcaceae
Description: partial 23S ribosomal RNA
Rfam family: Bacterial large subunit ribosomal RNA
Source: RNAcentral
GGUCCGUGUUCGAAAGGGAAACAGCCCAGACCACCAGCUAAGGUCCCAAAAUAUAUGUUAAGUGGAAAAGGAUGUGGCGUUGCCCAGACAACUAGGAUGUUGGCUUAGAAGCAGCCAUCAUUUAAAGAGUGCGUAAUAGCUCACUAGUCGAGUGACACUGCGCCGAAAAUGUACCGGGGCUAAACAUAUUACCGAAGCUGUGGAUUGUCCUUUGGACAAUGGUAGGAGAGCGUUCUAAGGGCGUUGAAGCAUGAUCGUAAGGACAUGUGGAGCGCUUAGAAGUGAGAAUGCCGGUGUGAGUAGCGAAAGACGGGUGAGAAUCCCGUCCACCGAUUGACUAAGGUUUCCAGAGGAAGGCUCGUCCGCUCUGGGUUAGUCGGGUCCUAAGCUGAGGCCGACAGGCGUAGGCGAUGGAUAACAGGUUGAUAUUCCUGUACCACCUAUAAUCGUUUUAAUCGAUGGGGGGACGCAGUAGGAUAGGCGAAGCGUGCGAUUGGAUUGCACGUCUAAGCAGUAAGGCUGAGUAUUAGGCAAAUCCGGUACUCGUUAAGGCUGAGCUGUGAUGGGGAGAAGACAUUGAGUCUUCGAGUCGUUGAUUUCACACUGCCGAGAAAAGCCUCUAGAUAGAAAAUAGGUGCCCGUACCGCAAACCGACACAGGUAGUCAAGAUGAGAAUUCUAAGGUGAGCGAGCGAACUCUCGUUAAGGAACUCGGCAAAAUGACCCCGUAACUUCGGGAGAAGGGGUGCUCUUUAGGGUUAACGCCCAGAAGAGCCGCAGUGAAUAGGCCCAAGCGACUGUUUAUCAAAAACACAGGUCUCUGCUAAACCGUAAGGUGAUGUAUAGGGGCUGACGCCUGCCCGGUGCUGGAAGGUUAAGAGGAGUGGUUAGCUUCUGCGAAGCUACGAAUCGAAGCCCCAGUAAACGGCGGCCGUAACUAUAACGGUCCUAAGGUAGCGAAAUUCCUUGUCGGGUAAGUUCCGACCCGCACGAAAGGCGUAACGAUUUGGGCACUGUCUCAACGAGAGACUCGGUGAAAUCAUAGUACCUGUGAAGAUGCAGGUUACCCGCGACAGGACGGAAAGACCCCGUGGAGCUUUACUGUAGCCUGAUAUUGAAAUUCGGCACAGCUUGUACAGGAUAGGUAGGAGCCUUUGAAACGUGAGCGCUAGCUUACGUGGAGGCGCUGGUGGGAUACUACCCUAGCUGUGUUGGCUUUCUAACCCGCACCACUUAUCGUGGUGGGAGACAGUGUCAGGCGGGCAGUUUGACUGGGGCGGUCGCCUCCUAAAAGGUAACGGAGGCGCUCAAAGGUUCCCUCAGAAUGGUUGGAAAUCAUUCAUAGAGUGUAAAGGCAUAAGGGAGCUUGACUGCGAGACCUACAAGUCGAGCAGGGUCGAAAGACGGACUUAGUGAUCCGGUGGUUCCGCAUGGAAGGGCCAUCGCUCAACGGAUAAAAGCUACCCCGGGGAUAACAGGCUUAUCUCCCCCAAGAGUUCACAUCGACGGGGAGGUUUGGCACCUCGAUGUCGGCUCAUCGCAUCCUGGGGCUGUAGUCGGUCCCAAGGGUUGGGCUGUUCGCCCAUUAAAGCGGUACGCGAGCUGGGUUCAGAACGUCGUGAGACAGUUCGGUCCCUAUCCGUCGUGGGCGUAGGAAAUUUGAGAGGAGCUGUCCUUAGUACGAGAGGACCGGGAUGGACAUACCUCUGGUGUACCAGUUGUCGUGCCAACGGCAUAGCUGGGUAGCUAUGUGUGGACGGGAUAAGUGCUGAAAGCAUCUAAGCAUGAAGCCCCCCUCAAGAUGAGAUUUCCCAACUUCGGUUAUAAGAUCCCUCAAAGAUGAUGAGGUUAAUAGGUUCGAGGUGGAAGCAUGGUGACAUGUGGAGCUGACGAAUACUAAUCGAUCGAAGACUUAAUCAA